CCCUAGAGUUGAUUUUGGCUCAGGAUGAACGCUGGCGGCGUGCGUAAUACAUGCAAGUCGAACGCUUUGUGGUUCAACUGAUUUGAAGAGCUUGCUCAGAUAUGACGAUGGACAUUGCAAAGAGUGGCGAACGGGUGAGUAACACGUGGGAAACCUACCUCUUAGCAGGGGAUAACAUUUGGAAACAGAUGCUAAUACCGUAUAACAAUAGCAACCGCAUGGUUGCUACUUAAAAGAUGGUUCUGCUAUCACUAAGAGAUGGUCCCGCGGUGCAUUAGUUAGUUGGUGAGGUAAUGGCUCACCAAGACGAUGAUGCAUAGCCGAGUUGAGAGACUGAUCGGCCACAAUGGGACUGAGACACGGCCCAUACUCCUACGGGAGGCAGCAGUAGGGAAUCUUCCACAAUGGGCGAAAGCCUGAUGGAGCAACGCCGCGUGUGUGAUGAAGGGUUUCGGCUCGUAAAACACUGUUGUAAGAGAAGAAUGACAUUGAGAGUAACUGUUCAAUGUGUGACGGUAUCUUACCAGAAAGGAACGGCUAAAUACGUGCCAGCAGCCGCGGUAAUACGUAUGUUCCAAGCGUUAUCCGGAUUUAUUGGGCGUAAAGCGAGCGCAGACGGUUAUUUAAGUCUGAAGUGAAAGCCCUCAGCUCAACUGAGGAAUUGCUUUGGAAACUGGAUGACUUGAGUGCAGUAGAGGAAAGUGGAACUCCAUGUGUAGCGGUGAAAUGCGUAGAUAUAUGGAAGAACACCAGUGGCGAAGGCGGCUUUCUGGACUGUAACUGACGUUGAGGCUCGAAAGUGUGGGUAGCAAACAGGAUUAGAUACCCUGGUAGUCCACACCGUAAACGAUGAGUGCUAGGUGUUUGAGGGUUUCCGCCCUUAAGUGCCGCAGCUAACGCA
RNAcentral lists this ribosomal RNA (901 nucleotides) under Weissella cibaria. RNAcentral describes it as "bacterial SSU rRNA". It matches the Rfam family "Bacterial small subunit ribosomal RNA", at positions 1 to 859 of the family's 1533-position model. Lineage: Bacteria; Bacillati; Bacillota; Bacilli; Lactobacillales; Lactobacillaceae. The record is from RNAcentral.